RNAcentral lists this ribosomal RNA (429 nucleotides) under uncultured bacterium. Its description in RNAcentral is "bacterial SSU rRNA". It matches the Rfam family "Bacterial small subunit ribosomal RNA", at positions 355 to 776 of the family's 1533-position model. The record is from RNAcentral.
UGGGGAAUUUUGGACAAUGGGCGAAAGCCUGAUCCAGCCAUGCCGCGUGUCUGAAGAAGGCCUUCGGGUUGUAAAGGACUUUUGUCAGGGAGCAAAACUUACUGGUUAAUACCCGGUGAGGCUGAGAGUACCUGAAGAAUAAGCACCGGCUAACUACGUGCCAGCAGCCGCGGUAAUACGUAGGGUGCAAGCGUUAAUCGGAAUUACUGGGCGUAAAGCGUGCGCAGGCGGACUUUUAAGCCAGAUGUGAAAGCCCCGAGCUUAACUUGGGAAUUGCGUUUGGAACUGGGAGUCUAGAGUCUGUCAGAGGGGGAUGGAAUUCCACGUGUAGCAGUGAAAUGCGUAGAGAUGUGGAGGAACACCGAUGGCGAAGGCAGUCCCCUGGGAUAAGACUGACGCUCAUGCACGAAAGCGUGGGGAGCAAACAGG